GGGCGUUAAGUUGCAGGGUAUAGACCCGAAACCCGGUGAUCUAGCCAUGGGCAGGUUGAAGGUUGGGUAACACUAACUGGAGGACCGAACCGACUAAUGUUGAAAAAUUAGCGGAUGACCUGUGGCUGGGGGUGAAAGGCCAAUCAAACCGGGAGAUAGCUGGUUCUCCCCGAAAGCUAUUUAGGUAGCGCCUCGUGAAUUCAUCUCCGGGGGUAGAGCACUGUUUCGGCUAGGGGGCCAUCCCGGCUUACCAACCCGAUGCAAACUGCGAAUACCGGAGAAUGUUAUCACGGGAGACACACGGCGGGUGCUAACGUCCGUCGUGAAGAGGGAAACAACCCAGACCGCCAGCUAAGGUCCCAAAGUCAUGGUUAAGUGGGAAACGAUGUGGGAAGGCCCAGACAGCCAGGAUGUUGGCUUAGAAGCAGCCAUCAUUUAAAGAAAGCGUAAUAGCUCACUGGUCGAGUCGGCCUGCGCGGAAGAUGUAACGGGGCUAAACCAUGCACCGAAGCUGCGGCAGCGANNUGCUGGAGGUAUCAGAAGUGCGAAUGCUGACAUAAGUAACGAUAAAGCGGGUGAAAAGCCCGCUCGCCGGAAGACCAAGGGUUCCUGUCCAACGUUAAUCGGGGCAGGGUGAGUCGACCCCUAAGGCGAGGCCGAAAGGCGUAGUCGAUGGGAAACGGGUUAAUAUUCCCGUACUUGGUGUUACUGCGAAGGGGGGACGGAGAAGGCUAUGUUGGCCGGGCGACGGUUGUCCCGGUUUAAGCGUGUAGGUGUGUGUUCCAGGUAAAUCCGGUUCACUUUAACACUGAGGCGUGACGACGAGGCACUACGGUGCUGAAGCAACAAAUGCCCUGCUUCCAGGAAAAGCCUCUAAGCAUCAGGUAACAUCAAAUCGUACCCCAAACCGACACAGGUGGUCAGGUAGAGAAUACCAAGGCGCUUGAGAGAACUCGGGUGAAGGAACUAGGCAAAAUGGUGCCGUAACUUCGGGAGAAGGCACGCUGACAUGUAGGUGAAGUGAUUUACUCAUGGAGCUGAAGUCAGUCGAAGAUACCAGCUGGCUGCAACUGUUUAUUAAAAACACAGCACUGUGCAAACACGAAAGUGGACGUAUACGGUGUGACGCCUGCCCGGUGCCGGAAGGUUAAUUGAUGGGGUCAGCGCAAGCGAAGCUCCUGAUCGAAGCCCCGGUAAACGGCGGCCGUAACUAUAACGGUCCUAAGGUAGCGAAAUUCCUUGUCGGGUAAGUUCCGACCUGCACGAAUGGCGUAAUGAUGGCCAGGCUGUCUCCACCCGAGACUCAGUGAAAUUGAACUCGCUGUGAAGAUGCAGUGUACCCGCGGCAAGACGGAAAGACCCCGUGAACCUUUACUAUAGCUUGACACUGAACAUUGAGCCUUGAUGUGUAGGAUAGGUGGGAGGCUUUGAAGUGUGGACGCCAGUCUGCAUGGAGCCGACCUUGAAAUACCACCCUUUAAUGUUUGAUGUUCUAACGUGGACCCGUUAUCCGGGUUGCGGACAGUGUCUGGUGGGUAGUUUGACUGGGGCGGUCUCCUCCUAAAGAGUAACGGAGGAGCACGAAGGUUGGCUAAUCCUGGUCGGACAUCAGGAGGUUAGUGCAAUGGCAUAAGCCAGCUUGACUGCGAGCGUGACGGCGCGAGCAGGUGCGAAAGCAGGUCAUAGUGAUCCGGUGGUUCUGAAUGGAAGGGCCAUCGCUCAACGGAUAAAAGGUACUCCGGGGAUAACAGGCUGAUACCGCCCAAGAGUUCAUAUCGACGGCGGUGUUUGGCACCUCGAUGUCGGCUCAUCACAUCCUGGGGCUGAAGUAGGUCCCAAGGGUAUGGCUGUUCGCCAUUUAAAGUGGUACGCGAGCUGGGUUUAGAACGUCGUGAGACAGUUCGGUCCCUAUCUGCCGUGGGCGCUGGAGAACUGAGGGGGGCUGCUCCUAGUACGAGAGGACCGGAGUGGACGCAUCACUGGUGUUCGGGUUGUCAUGCCAAUGGCACUGCCCGGUAGCUAAAUGCGGAAGAGAUAAGUGC
RNAcentral lists this ribosomal RNA (2042 nucleotides) under Salmonella enterica subsp. enterica serovar Tennessee. RNAcentral describes it as "bacterial LSU rRNA". It matches the Rfam family "Bacterial large subunit ribosomal RNA", at positions 690 to 2771 of the family's 2925-position model. Lineage: Bacteria; Pseudomonadati; Pseudomonadota; Gammaproteobacteria; Enterobacterales; Enterobacteriaceae. The record is from RNAcentral.